This 520-nucleotide ribosomal RNA is filed under the name uncultured bacterium. RNAcentral describes it as "bacterial SSU rRNA". It matches the Rfam family "Bacterial small subunit ribosomal RNA", at positions 8 to 509 of the family's 1533-position model. The record is from RNAcentral.
AGAGUUUGAUCAUGGCUCAGGACGAACGCUGGCGGCGUGCCUAAUACAUGCAAGUCGAGCGAACAGAAAAGGAGCUUGCUCCUUUGACGUUAGCGGCGGACGGGUGAGUAACACGUGGGCAACCUACCCUAUAGUUUGGGAUAACUCCGGGAAACCGGGGCUAAUACCGAAUAAUCUCUUUUGCUUCAUGGCAAAAGACUGAAAGACGGUUUCGGCUGUCGCUAUAGGAUGGGCCCGCGGCGCAUUAGCUAGUUGGUGAGGUAACGGCUCACCAAGGCGACGAUGCGUAGCCGACCUGAGAGGGUGAUCGGCCACACUGGGACUGAGACACGGCCCAGACUCCUACGGGAGGCAGCAGUAGGGAAUCUUCCACAAUGGGCGAAAGCCUGAUGGAGCAACGCCGCGUGAGUGAAGAAGGUUUUCGGAUCGUAAAACUCUGUUGUAAGGGAAGAACAAGUACAGUAGUAACUGGCUGUACCUUGACGGUACCUUAUUAGAAAGCCACGGCUAACUACGUGCC